RNAcentral lists this long non-coding RNA (299 nucleotides) under Cyanistes caeruleus (blue tit). RNAcentral's name for it is "lncRNA (ENSCCEG00000014084.1)". Lineage: Eukaryota; Metazoa; Chordata; Aves; Passeriformes; Paridae. The record is from RNAcentral.
UGAGAAGUACCACGAGGAAAAAGGUAGAAUUUCUAAUUGCUAGGUCAGUGCAUUUGUAGCGGAGCAGAUGUGAAGAAGACAAUAUCAACAUUUUGAUAACCAGCACUAUUAGAGAUGCAGCAAGAUAUUGGUGAUCGUUUACUUGGUUACAGAAGUCAAAGAAUGGGAUUUAUUAACAUCAUACAUCAAGAAAUGAUACCAUUGCUGCUGUUUUCUUGUGUCUUAUGGGAGAAAGGGAUCCCAACAAUUAUGGUAUGAUGCUAAUAAUACGACUGAUGAACCCUGUACUUUUUGCCGCA